CCUACGGGUGGCUGCAGUAGGGAAUCUUCGGCAAUGGACGAAAGUCUGACCGAGCAACGCCGCGUGAGUGAAGAAGGUUUUCGGAUCGUAAAACUCUGUUGGUAGAGAAGAACGUUGGUGAGAGUGGAAAGCUCAUCAAGUGACGGUAACUACACAGAAAGGGACGCCUAACUACGUGCCAGCAGCCGAGGUAAUACGCAGGUCCCGAGCGUGGUCCGGAUUGAUUGGGCGUAAAGCGAGCGCAGGUGGUUGAUGAAGUCGGGUGUAAAAUGCAGUGGCACAUCCAAUGUAUGCAUUGACAACUGGUAGACUUGAGUGCAUGGGAGGGGGGUGGAAUUCCAGGUGUAGCGGUGAAAGGCGUAGAUAUAUGGAGGAACACCGGUGGCGAAAGCGGCUCUCUGGCCUGUAACUGACACUGAGGCUCGAAAGCGUGGGGAGCAAACAGGAUUAGAUACCCGAGUAGUC
RNAcentral lists this ribosomal RNA (465 nucleotides) under uncultured Lactococcus sp. RNAcentral's name for it is "bacterial SSU rRNA". It matches the Rfam family "Bacterial small subunit ribosomal RNA", at positions 338 to 795 of the family's 1533-position model. Lineage: Bacteria; Bacillati; Bacillota; Bacilli; Lactobacillales; Streptococcaceae. The record is from RNAcentral.